Molecule: transfer RNA, 107 nt
Filed under: Hypoxylon rubiginosum
Lineage: Eukaryota; Fungi; Ascomycota; Sordariomycetes; Xylariales; Hypoxylaceae
Description: tRNA-Met
Rfam family: tRNA
About the family: Transfer RNA (tRNA) molecules are approximately 80 nucleotides in length.
Source: RNAcentral
GUCUUCGUGGCUCAGUUGGUCAGAGCGUUGGUCUCAUAGUAUGUAAUAUGACUCAAUCGUUAGAUUGGGAUAUCCAAAGGUCGUGAGUUCGAGCCUCACCGAGGACA